Oncorhynchus keta (chum salmon) is the source of this 1281-nucleotide long non-coding RNA. RefSeq lists it as uncharacterized. The transcript has 3 exons. NCBI's taxonomy places the organism in Eukaryota, Metazoa, Chordata, Actinopteri, Salmoniformes, Salmonidae. The record is from RefSeq and is a predicted model, not a curated record.
UAAAUGACUAAGCUGAGCUCAAUGAAGCCAAAACAUGUGCGUCCAGGCUUAAUUGGUUGCACAAAGACCAAGCCAGGAUGAGCAGACACGGAUUCAUUAAACCAGGUGAAACCAAUCCUGGCGGCUCACUCAAAUAGACCCCGCCACAGAUCACAGAUUAACUGAUUUACCAUGGCAACUAGAGCCGCGUACUUUUCCCCGUCGGAAGCACAAAUCCUCAUGGAGGCAUACGAGGAGGUAAAAGAUAUAAUUAAGAAGAAAGGCAACACCGCCACAGUGAUAAAGCAAAGAGAAAAAGCGUGGCAAAGUAUUGCAGACCGCCUGAAUGCAUGGUCUGCAAUGCUGACUGUGUGAUCAGCAAUGUUGUGGCAAAAUGGCCUGGCUCAGUCCAUGACUCCAGAAUCUUUCGGGCCUCUGAAAUCUAUCAGUGCCUAUCACAAGGUGAAUUCUCUGGUGUGUUGCUGGGAGACAGGGGUAUGGCUGCCAGCCUUUUCUCCUGACACCUUUCACAGACCCCCAGGAAGCACAGCAGGCCUACAACCAUGCCCAUGCCAGGACCAGGGCCAGAGUUGAAAUGACCUUUGGCCUCCUGAAGGCACGCUUUCACUGCCUUCACAAAUUAAGGGUCAGCCCUGUUAGGGCAUGUGAUAUUACUGUGGCUUGUGCUGUCCUCCACAAUGUGGCCUGCCUGAGGAAGGAGAGGGCCCCCAGAGUGCCACCAGCCAUGGACUGGGACAAUCCGGCAAUCUUCCCUGAUGACGACAGUGGUCGGCUGCUGAGGGACCAAUAUGUGUUGAAUUAUUUAUGUUAGUAUGUGUGCUUUCAAUUUUGGUUAAAUAUGUCCUGCGGUGGCAGAGGAAUUGUUUUUUUUUGGUUUGUUUUUUUACGAAUUUGGCCUCUUAUGAUGAUUGUGCGGUAUACUGUGUGUAAUACAAGGCUGCAGGGAGGCUACUGCAUCCAUUCAUUUGUCUGUUCAGUUGAUGUGUAUGGAUUUGUCCUGCAUUUAUUUUAGUGUGCAGACAUGCAGGGUGUGUUAUAUACAGACCUUUGAAUGUGUAUGUAUCAUUUUGUAUAAUAUGCUUGGAUUCUGUGCUUUCCAUCUUGUAGAGUCACUGUGACUUCAGUUUCGAAAGGAGCUGAUGGUUUACCUGCUUUGUUUUGUCCUUAUUCAAUAAAGGAACAUAAUGUUACACAUUGUGUUUUUAUAUUCAUAUGGAAUGUGUAUUUGUUUAUAUGACAGUACUAGGGCCACACUGAAGAAAAAGGAUAAAGCCAUACAUU